Molecule: long non-coding RNA, 839 nt
Organism: Rhinopithecus roxellana (golden snub-nosed monkey)
Lineage: Eukaryota; Metazoa; Chordata; Mammalia; Primates; Cercopithecidae
Exons: 3
Source: RefSeq, a predicted model, not a curated record
UGUCUGUAAGAGGAAGGGGCCAGCUGCCCACGGGACAGAAGCAGCUGUCUGGCCUCCCCAGGCUGGUGGCCAGGGGGCUGCCUUCCCCAUCAGGGGUGGCACCCACUCAGAGUACUUUUGCUUUUGAGACUCAGCCGGACGUCUGUUUUGGGUGAAAGGAUGCACGCUCUUCCUUCCCUCCCAGGAUGCCCCUGUUUCAGGCUCUCUGCAGCAGUCCUGCCUUGAAUUGGCUGUGUGAUCUAAGGCUGGUCACUUCACCUCUCUGGUUAUCCAUAUCCUCAUCCAUAGAAUGGAGAUAAUCAUUCUCACCACUGAGGGAUGCUGCGAGGAUUGGGCAAGGCCACAAGUUCUGGAGGCUGGAAAGCUCAAUGUUGAGGUGGCUGGCAGAUUUGAUGUCUUGUGAGGAUCCAUUUCCUGCGUGACCUUUUAGCAUGUUUGGCCUCUUCUGUGAUCCUGAAGUCACGUUUGACACUGGCGGCAUCCACAUCCAUUGGAUGGAAAGCUUCUCCAAGCAGGGGCCUCUCCCUUCCUCUUUACAGAGCCCAGCAUGCAGGAAGUGUGCAGCAUGUGUCUGUUCCUAGGUGGACAAAUGCAUCCUUGAACGAGGAGCUGGCACCUCUCUUUUGAAGAUCCGUUUAUUUCAUGUCAUGUAAGGCAUUGUUUCUGAAACUAUGGCUAAAUUUAGACUUUCCUUCUGCUGGGAGUCAUGGGAUGGGUUAGAAAUUUAUUCCUAGCCAGGCAUAGUGGCUCACGCCUGUAAUCCCAGUGUUUUGGGAGACUGAGGAGGGAGGGUGGCUUCAGCCCAAGAGUUCUAGACAAGUUUGGGCAACAUAGCAAGA